This 71-nucleotide transfer RNA is filed under the name Marmota monax (woodchuck). RNAcentral's name for it is "tRNA.Ala". Lineage: Eukaryota; Metazoa; Chordata; Mammalia; Rodentia; Sciuridae. The record is from RNAcentral.
GAGGUUGUGGCUCAGAGGUAGAGUGCUUGCCUGGCAUGCACGGGGCACUGGGUUUGAUCCUCAGCACCACA